ACCUCUCUCCACGUUCUCUCUCUCCUCUCUCAUCUCUCCUCUCUCCCCACCUUCUUCCCUCAUAACUGCACAAACACCUCCUUCCCCAUCAUCUUCAUCACCUUAUUCCGGUCAUCCACGACAAGAUUCAUCAAAUUCCGGCAACCCACGGCCAGAUCCAUCGAAUUCCGGUCCCCCACGACCUACACCACCUAACUCCAGCCACCCCGUCGAAUUCCGCCCAAAUCCCGCCACCAACAGCCACCUCCAACGCAGUGUGUUAGACAAAAACCGGAGUCAAUAGCCGGUUUCCGGGUUCAACGGUUUUGUCCGGUCGAACCGGGCCUAGACAUUUGGACCGGGUUUUUAGUUUUUCCGGUUUUAGGAGUCGGAUCGGACCGUUUUCUUCGCGGGUCGCGGUCGGACCGGUUCGACCGACCGAUCCGAUCCGGUCCGGUCUUAUUCGUCCCUUUUCACCCAGACCUUCCUUCUAAAUGGGCUGUUUCCUUGUUGAGCCUCCAUCACCUUUGUUCAAACCCCUCGCAUAAUUACCAAUCUCUCUCUCUCUCUCUCUCCUCCGGUGUAUUCGCGGCGGCGCGGAGACCAUCCACCGGCCAACUCCACAAUCUCCACCAAACAGUUCAGGUGUUUCGAUUUAAAAAAAAAAAAAAAAGAGACAAAAUCGAGAUUUUCGAAUUAUUUUCAAUCUUCCUACUACAAUUACUUGCAAUGGAUCCCAAGCACUCUGGAGAUAUGCUCAAGCAUUUGGAGAAGCAGACAGAGCUUCUAACUGAUGCGUAUAGGUCAAUGUCUCAUGAAUUGCAGAGAACUCCAGG
Molecule: non-coding RNA, 815 nt
Organism: Erythranthe guttata (spotted monkey flower)
Lineage: Eukaryota; Viridiplantae; Streptophyta; Magnoliopsida; Lamiales; Phrymaceae
Source: RefSeq, a predicted model, not a curated record